AUGGCAAGGCAGGAGAUGUCGAGAGGAAUUUUCCUCCUGGAUAUUGCAGACACUACGUGCCAUUGCCCAUUACAAAUCUGCCUAGGAGUGCAUGGGAAAAUGUUUACAUUUAAGCAACCUCAGUUGCAGAUUUUUUAUAUUUGUUCACUCAGGAGGCCAUUAGUCUAUACCAGCGAUGGAGACAGCUUCCCUUUUCACUACUGUAGAACAUAUGAAGGGUAUAUUCCAGUCAUAAUGGAGAUGCUUGUGAUAAGUUUGGUACCUUCCUCUGCUACAUCUUUUGGUGUUAUGGGCCGUUCCUAG
RNAcentral lists this ribosomal RNA (303 nucleotides) under Triticum aestivum (bread wheat). RNAcentral describes it as "partial small subunit ribosomal RNA". The record is from RNAcentral. Lineage: Eukaryota; Viridiplantae; Streptophyta; Magnoliopsida; Poales; Poaceae.